UUUUUAUAGCAUGAUACACUUUGACAUUUAUUUUAGAAUGCAACAGAACAUGAAAAAAUAUCAAAUGAUAUAAAGUGAUCAUCUCAGUGAAAGACAAAAUAGAACAUAUUAUAAAGAAAAUGUGGUUAGUAACUUUAGUUUACAAUUACACAGUAUAAGAUGAGGAAACUUAAAAAAUACUAUGUCAUAUUAACACUUCAGUGGUAAACAAUAAUUUCAUUAUUAUUAAUUUAUAGAUCACUAUGUCACAUAAAUAAGUUCAGUCAUAUCAUAUGUGGUCUUGAUGGACAUUCUUAAAUUUAUGCUAAUCUUUUUUCAAGCAGUCAUAUUUCACUAUUUAGCUGUUCUAAUUAAUCUAAGUACUGUAUUUCUAUGGCAAAGUAAUGAAGGCACAGCUAGUACAAGCAAAUUUAAACCUUUAGUUUUCUGGGCUGGAAAAGAAAAACCACUUGCAUUGGUACUUCAGAAACUUUUUUUCAAGCAAAUAUUUGUCUCUAUUGACAAUUAUGAGUUUUCACAGCUACAUUCUAAUAGGAACAUGACAAAAGGACUUCACAAAAAUCAAAACUCUGUAGCACCAAACUAGCAUGCUUUAGAUAACUGGCAGAAUUUACAUAUUUGAAGAAUAUUACACUACAAUAAGCUAAACUGAUACUUAGACUCUGUUAAGACAUUUUUUAGAAUACCAAGAAAAUAUGAAAACACAAGACUGUAAGGAAUGCUUGUGUUGAGUUUAUAAAGAAGCCACCCUGCCCUCCCACCACCAAGGCCGCCCCCCCCCCCCCCCCCCCCCCCCCCGCAUCUCACAUGAGCCUAUAUAAACCUGCUUUACUUCUGCUUGAGGUUUUGAGAUGCUUGAAAAUUUCUUCAGGCUGCCUCUUUUUUUAUUUUCGAUACUUCCUGUUUCCAUAAUCUUUACCAUCAUCAUAGGUACCUUUGACUUCUCCUGUAUAGUAAUAGAUUGAUUUCAGGAUGACGUUAUCAUGUAAAAUUUGACCAAUUUCAAAAUCUUCAUCCAGGAUGGCAUCUUCUCGUGGUUCUAGCUUUCCAAUCUUAGGAAUCUCAGGAGGGCUAAAGAAAUUGAAGAAUGAUGCAUUAGCAACCACUCUUGGCUGAAUUUCAAUUUCUCCACUAGCAGUUGUACGGCUCUGGGUGGUUGUCACGGUAACAUCCUUUCCUCUUCUCCAAUCGAUUUUACAGCCUUUGCAAUCUUGGAUUUCCCAUCCCCAAGAGAAGAAGGGAUCGUUGUGAUCUGGUUUUGACUUUAUUAUAUAUGUCUUGGUCAGCAUCUCAUUUCUGAAGUAUGGAUUAGGUAGAAAAUAAAAUUCAAACGUGUAGCUUAUAGGCUGGCCAGGUUUUGAGAACUUUAGGCUAAUAUCUGACAAGAACUUCAAAAUGGGGGCAUCAUACUUCUGAAUCAUGGGCCCAAGCUUGUCGACAUUCUUUAAAACAGUCAGCCAAUAGUCAGGAAUGCCUUUAGGAUCUUCUUUUUUAGGCUUUCCCUUACGAGCUCUUUUAAGAUUUACUCUUUCUUUAGGCCUGACCUCAGAAAUUCUUUUAGGAGCCUCUAUUACAGCAGCCUUUGCCUUAGCCUCUGCUGCUUUAGGCUGUUUUUGAUCUUCUGCAUUUUGCUGGGGGACUACUUCAGGCUCUUCUUUCACUUCAGGCUUUAUACCCAGAAAAUCUUUAGAUUCUGCGUUUUCUUCAGUCUUUGCCUCAGGAAUUUCUUUUGGAACCUCGUUUUCUUCAGCCUUUACCUGAGGUUUUUCCUUAGGGUUAUCAUCUUCCUGCUCACUUUCUAAGGCAGGCAUUUCAAUAGGGCUGUCUUCCUGCACCUCCUCAUCACUGCUGAACACCUCAUCCUCUGAAUUCCAUUCAUAUUCUUCUUCUGUAGGUUCAUAUUCUGCAUUGAUUAUUUGAAAUCGCCGAUCGUAUAGAGGCUUAUUGAGUUCGGCAUAUUUUCUUUCGAGAUCGUGAAUUGCCUUUAAGAACAGGAUGUCAACCUUGUCACAUUCAUCUUGAAUAUUUCUGAGAGCCUGCACACGAUUUCUAACUGCCUGAGGCAGCCGAUCCACAAAACUUUUACCCAGCGGAGCCCCCCGUGCUCCUCUGGAAGGCCCAGAUACCCUCUUCUUUCUAUAUAAGCGGCUGCGGCCACUGCCGCUGCUGCUGCUGCAACUAGUGCUGCUGCUAGAGCUAUUGCUGUCCGAUUCUUCCCCAGAAUCACUAGACGAGCUAGCCAUCUUCUCUUCAGUAACCCUUUGGGCGGCAGGUUCCGAGACCAUGUUAAGAUCCUCUUCUGCCAUUUUGCAAACCUGCAAACCCCUUAAUAUGGUGACUACCACUGAGACCGCGCGCUCAGAGAUGGGCAGAAAAUGACUCACGUAUGCUUGGGUAGCGGCAGAGGCUGGGGCUGAGGAGGUUGCAGCAGCGAAGGUAACAGCGCAGGGCGGGGCUGGGUUGGGCUGCGGUGAUCGCGCAGACGUGGAAGCCACAAUAGAGGCCUGGGCGAGAGUGGAGGUGGCAAGGCCUCUCACUGCAGCUGCGACGGACAGAGGCGUGCUGCACC
Molecule: long non-coding RNA, 2569 nt
Filed under: Canis lupus familiaris (dog)
Lineage: Eukaryota; Metazoa; Chordata; Mammalia; Carnivora; Canidae
Description: lncRNA (ENSCAFG00845026178.1)
Source: RNAcentral